Molecule: long non-coding RNA, 1707 nt
Organism: Gallus gallus (chicken)
Lineage: Eukaryota; Metazoa; Chordata; Aves; Galliformes; Phasianidae
Source: Ensembl
CCAGCACAGAAUGCUGAGUUUGUGAGAUGCAGCAAAGUUAAGGAGGGAUGCAAUUGCUCAGUUGGAGGUGAAAAGGAAAACUCAGCUCUAACAAGACAAGCUACAGACAAGGAUGGUGGGCUGUGCUGGGAAAAUCUGUGACUGAGGAGCAGAAGGAGGAAACUCACUGACAGCAUCAAAGGACCAUUGUACCCCAACUGCAAAGAAACUUGCCUGUCAGGGAUAACACAGGAGAACGUGAGCUGAAGGCUCCCUAUGGCAGAGAAGGGAAAAUUAAAUGAAGGUCUCCUUGAUCCUGAGGACAUCAGCUCAGUGAGCAUUGAUGGGAACACCAUGCUGUUUGUGAUUCUCCACCCCUAGUCAAAAAAAACUUGUUCUCAGCACAGCUUUUGAAAGAACCUGGCACCUUUGCAUUCUGGACAAUGGAUGGAGGUAACAAGACGGAGCAUAAGCAUUAUCUUCUGUCAGGAGCAGACUGCUGGAGCUGAUGCUGGCUGGUAAUUCAAGUUGCACUUCUGCUGUGCAACUGUAAGGUGAAGGAGACAUUGUGAAGAAACCGAAAAGAUGGGUAAAAGACACAGAAAUAUUUCCCUCUGAGAAGCUGCUUAGAGCAAGUUACAAGAAGUUGAGAAGGAAAAUGCAGUUCCCCUCCCUGAUGUGCAGCAAUCUGGUAGUCUCUACUAAUAACCAGGAGCAUGAGUUCAUCAAGAUGUUGUUUUCUGGAUUUAAAUCAAGAACAUCAUUGAAAUCUGCUUUUGCUGUCAGACAUGAGCUAUCCCUUAGGAGGUAGGGACAGGGCACCACCUGGAAUAUCCAAGUAGGAUCAUGCUGGUCAUGAUGGAAAAUUGGUGUAAUGUCACAAUGGAGCUGCAAAGCUACUCGAGGCAUCCAUGAGACCUCAGGGUGGAACUGAUAGGAGCUCCCAUUUUGUUAGACCUGGAGUAUUCCAAACCUGUCCACCAUGGGAGAGUUCUGCUCAUGUUGGAUAGCUAUCAAAGUCCAUUUGUCUCUCUCCUACAGGCAAGGAGCUGAAGCAGUAGCUGGCAUAGGUCAAGAUGGUGCUGCUGAAUCAGUUGCUGCUGAGGGAAAAUAACAUGGUUCCCACUGUGUGUGCUAUCUAUGUCUUGGGAUACUUCUGUGAAGGAGAAAAGUUGUGAAUCUCCAGGUACUUCUGAUCAUUUCACAAGUGCAUGUCCUUUAAGGUGAAGAGGGACCAUUAGUCUCUGACCAUGCUUCAAGUGGGUCACAGAGUCUCAUGAAGUUACCGGUGCAACAAGGCAUAUAACUUGCAAGUUAGGAAUAAGACAAAACAAGUCAGCUAGAAUGAAAGCCCUGGGGUGUUACUGCUGCUGCAUCCAUGGAGGGCAGAGGAAUGUGCUCAGAGACUGCCCAGCCAGCACUGGCCAUGCGCUUGCUUCUCUUCUGGCCCAGGCAAAGGUCCUGGCCAUCCUCUUUAAAGUAUCCCUAAGUAUGAGAGGAGCAGUGCUGCCAGGAAUAUUUGCUUGUGAAGCGGUUAUAAAGUGGAAAAUGUUAUCUUAAUGAGCUCUUUCAGUCACCAAAUGCUAGUAAAGCGGAAUCUUUCAGUCACCAAAUGCUAGUAAAGCAGAAUCUUUCAAUUUUGUUCUUUUUUUUCCCCCUUGGUUCUACAUGGUUUACAAGCUUAGGAUAACUGAAGAAUACAACUUGCCUUUAGAGAAACCUCUUCCC